This 8257-nucleotide long non-coding RNA is filed under the name Equus caballus (horse). Its description in RNAcentral is "lncRNA (ENSECAG00000058751.1)". The record is from RNAcentral. Lineage: Eukaryota; Metazoa; Chordata; Mammalia; Perissodactyla; Equidae.
GAGAGAGCGCUAGAGAGGAGGAAGUUCGAUUGCCUUUUAUGACAUAGCCUCAGGAGUCACACAGUGUCGUUCUGCUGUAUUUUCCUGAUGAGAAUUGAGUUGCUAAGGGUCACCCAUAUGCAAAGGAAGGGGAAUUGUUUUCCGCCGUUUGAUGUGAGGAAUGUCAGAGAACUUGCACCCGGUUUUCCCUACUGUGGCCUUCAUUAUUCCCCUCCUCCCUGUGCCUAGCACAGAGCCUUGAACAAAAUAUUAGCCAAAAUUGUCAGUUGAGUUGAAUUGCCUUUUGGUUUGGCAUAGACCUGGGUCUGGAGGAUAGCUUGGUGUGAACCCACUUUCUUCUACUUAUGUCAUUCAGAAACACAAAACUCUCAGAGAAGUAAUUGAUUUUGUGUCUCUGGCCGUCCACAGCUUGGGAUUUGGGUAGGUCAAGGUAACUGUCUGUACUCUGUCCCCAGUGUCCCUGCCAAGCUUUCCCCCAGUGCUCCGUAACCUGGGGUCCUGUGGUUCAAUCAGACAGGCGCCUGCACCGUCUCACGGUGGGGACAGCCCCGUUCUACCUCCUGGCCUUUGCUCAGUUGGUUCUCCCGGCCUGGGAUGUCCUCUCCUCUUCUUUCCACUUCCCAAGUGCUCUCCAGCCUUCACGACCCACCUCGAGGAGCUUUCUCUCUCGGCCUUUCCCUCUCACCCCCAGCAACCCCUUCCCCACCAUCGCCUCAGAAGAGAAGAGACUGGCAGACUUGUAUCUCCAAAGCUGCAGCCCCGAGCCCUUAGGGAGCCCAGGGCAGCAAACAGUUGCCCUGGCACCAGGCGGGGGCAGUGGCUGAGCGAGGAAAGCUGGCGGCCAGCUGGACUGCAGGAAGGACCACAGCCAGCCGGUCUAGCCGAAGGGGGCAGCUCGUGCUUCAGUUGCCAUCGGGGGAAUUAAAGGAUACCUCAUCUCUUCUUUCCAGGGAAGCAGAAAGGACCUCAGAUGAAAACCUCUCCCGCUCUCCUGCUGGGGAAUCCUUUCCUAAAAAGGCAGAGACUAAGAGUCCUCAGGAGUGAAGAGAGGGCAGAAAUCCAUCAGACACUGACGAAGGCGCAGGGCAGCCGGGACAGCUGGCUGAUUGAAACAUCCCUGAGUUCUUUCAUCUGAGCAUCGCACACCAGCAAGUAAUUCUAGCCAGAGAAGGUGGAGCUCAAACCCAAGUGUGAAUUCUGGCUGUGGGACUUUUGGCAAGUCACUUAACCUCUCUGAAUCUCUGUUUGCUCAUGGAAACUGUAAAAUGGGGAAUAUCAUACCCUACUUUUGUGUUAUAAUCAAAUAAGAUAAAAUGAGCAAAGUGUUUAGAACAGCCUUGAGCUCAACUGGUGCUUAAUCAAGUCUGUUCUCUUUCCAUUCCCUCUUAAUUAUCCACUGAGCCUCUUUUUUCAUUUUGCAACCAGUCUCAAACUUGCUUCUUUGCCAGGUAUGCAUUAUUGCAAGAAGCAAGGCAUUUAAAAUCAAAACAUGGUUAUAAUAAAGGCAGGCAAUUAUCACUCUGGGGGAUUCAGCAAAGGGAGACUCCUUUCCCAUGGCUGCUUUUUCACGUUCGGGUCUUCCAAACCAAUUUUUCUGCAAGAGGGUCUUCUCCGGUGAAUUGAGAAACCACCUACUCCCCCAAAGAGCCAAUCUAGGCAAUGAGAUGCUACCAAGUCGGAGAUGCAGCCCAGCCAGCAUCCUGGCCUUGGUCCUUGGAUCCAGGAUCCCAGAUUUCCCAGCCAGUCACCUGUUGCCAUCACAGUUUGGGGAGGCAUGUUUGCAGGUUUUGCUGUGGAGUCUGGGCCCCCAAGGCACACAGAAGCCUUGUAAGGCAGGCUCCACAUGCCCCACUCAAGCCCAGCCCCUUAUGAACACGCACCACAGAUCAGAUCAUGUAUUCCCUCUCCCGGAAUAAAACGCCCUCCGUAGCCACCCCGAGAACUCACCUGCGGCAGAUUAAGAUCCACUUCCUAUAUCUCUCUCUUCGGAAGGCCUCCCCUCAAGCAAAAGUGCCUUUCUCCUCCGGGGCCACAGUCACGUGGUGCCCGGGACACGCCUCCUUCCCAGACGCUCUCGCUGAGCAUCAGCAUCCCGAUAACGUGGGUGCGCCGCCUUCCCUGCCCGCCCUCCGCUGUGGACGCGGCCGCUUCUCCACCUCCCACCGUCCUCAUUCCUAGCAGAGCGCUUGGCACAGAGAAUGCUUGGUGGACAGCUGUUGACCUGAAUCAAACUGGCAAACGGCAAGACUUAAGCUUCUUCCAACACUGAUAUUCUAUGAUUAAUUUUUAAAAGUGUCUACCCAGUUAAGUUCAUUUUCAGAAUCUAAUUAAAUCCAGCAUAUAUAUUAUGGAGUAGAAAAUUUCACAUUACAACUGAAAUGUACAUAAAAAUGCUGCUUAAAUUUUUUUCUCUAAAUGACCCAUCCUACUUUGAACCUUCAUUGCUUUUUUUCUUCUUUUUUCUUUUUUCUUUUUUUGGAGGAAGAUUAGCCCUGAGCUAUCACCUGCCACCAAUCUUCCUCUUUUUGCUGAGGAAGACUGGCCCUGAGCUAACAUCCAUGCCCAUCUUCCUCUAUUUUAUGUGGGACGCCUGCCACAGCAUGGCUUGCCAAGUGGUGCAUAUGUCCGCACCCAGGAUCCGAACCGGUGAAUUCUGGGCUACUGGAGCAGAAUGUGCGAACUUAACUGCUGCGCCACCGGGCUGGCCCCAGAACCUUCAUUGCUUUUUACUUAAAAUUGCCUUUAAAAUUAACAGUCUCUGGAAUAGGAAAAGAUUUCUUCUGUAUAACACAAAAAGCACUAACCAUAAGGGGAACAUUUAAUAAACUGGACUACAUCAGAAUUAAGAACUUCUGAUCAUGAAAAGACAACCUUAAGUGUGGAAGAGAAGUUACAGACUAAGAGAAGAUAUUUGUAAUAAAUAUAUCCAACAGAGGAUUCAAAAACACAGAGACCUCAUAUGCAUCAAGAGAUAAGAUUGACAGCUCAAUAGAAAGUGGGCAAAUGACUUAAGUGGCACUUUGUGAAAGAGAAUAUUCAGACUCCCAAUGAGUUUACAAAAAAGCGGCUUGCCUUAGUCAGCUCGGGCUGCUGGAACAAAAUACCACAGGCUGAGGGGCUUAAACAGUAGAAACUUAUUUCUCACAGUUCUGGAGGCUGGAAGCCCAAGGUCAAGGUGCCAGCCGGAGGAGCUCUUCCUGGCUUUUAGAUGGAUGGCUGCCUCACUGCUGUCUCCUCACACUGCAGAGGAGGAGGAGAGGGGAGAGAAAGAGCAGAGAGCUCUCUGGAGUCUCUUCUCAGAAGGACACUGAUCCUCUUGGAUCUAGGCCCCAUCCUUAUGAGCUCAUUUAACCCUAAUUACCUCCUUAUAGGCCCUCUCUCCAAAUACAGUGUCACUGGGGUUCAGGCUUGAACAUACGCCUCUGGGGGAGAUACAGUUCAGCUCAUUCAAGGCUCAGUAUAACACUAAUGAAAUACUGCUAUACAUCCACCAGAACGGCUAAAGUUAAAAGGCUGACAGUUCCAAGUGUGGGAGAGGAUGUGGGACAAUUGUAACUCUCCUCCAUUGCAGAUGGGAGAGUAAAUUGGGAUAACCAUGCUGGGAAACUGGCAGGAUCUGCUCCAGCUGAACACCUGCAGACCGUACACCCUAGAAAUGCCACUCCUAGGAAUAUAGUGAAUCAAAGUGGAUGCGUGUGUUUUGAAAAAAGUGUGCAAGAAUGUUCCAGGAGACCUAUUGACAAUUGCUGGAAACCAGAAAUGACUCACCUGCCUGUUAAUGAUAGUGACAGUGCUAUGUGCUGUGCUGUGUCCCCUAAAAUCAGUGUGUUGAAGUCCUAACCCGCAGUACCUCAGAAUGUGACUGUAUUUAAAGAUAGGAGCUUUAAAAAGGUGAUCAAGUUAAAAAGAGACUGUGAAGGUGUGCCCUAGACUGAUCUGCCUGGUGUCCUCACAAAAAGAGGAAAUGUGGAUGCGCAGAAAGAUACCUGACGUGUGUGCACAGAGGAAAGACCGCGUGAGGACAAAGUGAGAAGGCGGCGUCUGCAAGCCAAGGAGAUAGGCCUCAGAGGCAACCAAGCCUACUGACUCCUUGAUCUUGAACUUCUGGCCUCCAGAUUCUGUUGUUUAAGCCGGCCAGUCUGCUGUACUUUGUGGCAGGUGGCCCGAGCUGACUCAGACGGGCGUAUUCCCUCCAUGAGAUGCCACACAGCAGAGGGGCUGCACGAGCCGUGAUGGCACACAGCAGCAUGGGGACAUGUCACAAACAGGAUGGCGGGCCACAGGAGGCAGCCACGAAAGAGCACCAAUGGCACGUGUGCGGCUGCACAAAGUCCAAAUCCAGGCAGAGCCAGCCUGUGGUGCUUGAGGCUUUCACUGAAGUCUGGCAAACGUCCAGAAAAGUGCACGACUGACUUGGGGUAACACCUGCAAGGGGCCUGAGGGGCUGCGGGUGCUGGUAAAUUCGGGGUCUUGAUCUGGGUGCUGGCUACACGGGUGUGUUUACUUUAUUAAGAAAAUGCAUCAGAUUGGGCACUUAGGAUUUGUGCCCUUUUCUGAUCCUUUAAUAAAAACUUGACCGAAAACACUUUACAUAAUCAUGUCCUGCAGCCGAUUUAGAGCGCACGCUCCCUAAGGAGGCCCUUGCUCCUCAGCAAGGCGUCUUCCCCAGCCUUUUCCUCUAAAAACUGAGAUCGGUUAGGUGGGCUCUGCAGGGCUAUCCUUCUCUGCCGGCUCCCACUGGUCUGGACUGAGGUAUACUUCAUCUGACCCAACUUUUGUAUUGCCUCUUCUCACUGUGUCCCCUGCUUAAGAGUCUGUGGCUUGUGUCACCCGUGAUUUGUUUUCUCAGCAUGAGCAAUGCAUUAUAACUUCUUCCAGAAUGAUUGGCUCAGCUCUCACCAGCGUGUGGUGUACUUAGGGUGGUGCAGUACACAACCUACACAACAGUCUAUGGCAACCCUGGUCUUCAUCUCAGCUCCCAAGGUUCUGUGAAGUCUGUGGGACCUAGACACACUCUCCAUCCAUCCCCUACCUAACCUUUGCCCUCAGCUGUUGUCAUGGCUGGGGCCUCCUCAUCCUUCUCUACCCCUCACAAAGACUGCAAGGUAGACAUUCCCUGGAUCUCUUGUGGAAUGGGUAGGUGUGGGUGCCAGAGCCAGGUGAGGGGCGGCUGUGAAGUUGGUUCUGGCCUGUGGAGAAAGCCAAGGAGCCAAGAGCAGCAGACACAAGGAAGAGGGAGAGAGAAUUGUGAGCGAGCCUUAGCUCUCGUCUCUCCUGAGGCCUCAACUUCCUGAGCUUUAAUUACUAAGUCCAGCAAAUUCCCCUUUUGGCCCAUGCUGGUUUGAAAUGGGUUUAUGCCCGCAAGAACCAAAAAAUUUCUGACUAAUACGUCCGUUAAAGGUUUUUUCCCCCAAAGAAGCAGACUUCCUUCAAAGGUGAAUUCGAACUCCUGGCUGGAGGAAAGCAGGAAAGUUUGUUCAAGUUUUGAAAGAGUGAGACAAGUCUGCCCCUUUUCACCCAUUCCCCUUCAGGUCCCCUUCUGCUCACCAAGACUGCGAAGAAGCCGGGCUCAGGCUCAGCUUGAGCGCCCUGUCCACGAACACCAGGCUCGAGAAUUUAGAUCUUUGCUCAACGAACAGAUCACGUGAAUGUGACAUAGUAACACCAGGAAAUACGCUCCCUGACCCAGGUGGUAUCCCCUUAGGUGCUGGUUUAUCUUCUGGGGAUGAGGAAGCCCUUCUGGGAACCCCUUUGGGGCUGACAAAAAUUCAGGCAUUGUCGGGAAUGUGGAUUAAGCUGUUCUGAUUGCAGGGGCAGAUCCAUGUUUCGAUAUUUUCCCCAUGGUUACAGCUCGAGAUUUUGAUGAGCUGUCUGAGUGUUUACAGAAGCACGAUGUUUUCAGGAGCAGCUGAGAGAGUCUUUUUGGGAGGCCUGUGUUGAGAAGCCAUUGUGACAUGGGUGUCAUCACAGGAUAUGCCGUGCCGGAUGGACAGAUACAACAGACAUGGGGAGAGGAAGCAAAGUCUCUUUAAUGAUGAGGGGUGUGGAAACGUGUGGAAAUGGUUAGAAAGCAAGAGACGACCCAGCCGGCUUCCAGAGAGAGCCUGGGCCUCGAAGCAGAUGCAAACCUCUCUAAGGAAGAAAGGGGCGGCUACAGCGGGAAUCAAAGACACCAUUUCUCAGCUUUGAGUUUUAAAGUAGUCUUAAAAUUUCAUAGCAAGACAAUGGUCUCGAAAGCCAGACUUUUCAGAGAAAGGUUUUUCUUAAAACUCCGAAGGCUGGAGUUUUCACACAUCAAACAAUCAAAGCUGAGAGAGGUUGAAUGCUCAUUUUGUGAGUCAUAGAGCAGGGCAGAAUGAGGAUAUGACAAAAGGGAAGUUUCUACCCCACAGGAAGGAGAACAGUGAUUUUGAGACUUGGGGAAAGAAUUGAGAAAUGGGGCAAGGAAAUGCAGGCAGGGGUCAGGUGGUGUGCUGGUUCUCACCACCCCUCCCAUUGGGAUCAAACUCCAGGGGUAAGGGAGGACGGGAACAUCCAGGUAGUUUUAGGGCCUCCAAGAACUUCAGGGCUGGUGCCCCCACUUCCCCAGAUGUAGCCUGAGGAGUCUUCACAUCUUUCAGAGGAGCCUUUGGGUCAGCCUGAUACUGCAUCCAACAUGGCGCCCAAGCCAAGGAGUAGAGAUGACUGAGGGAGAUGCUCUGGUGGGUUGGGCCUGAGAUAGCACCCCUGGUUCGUAAUGAUCCAGCAUAUGAUGUGGAGGAGGUCCAGAAGUUCCUGUGUGCCACAGGGGAACCUGAAAAGUAGCUGAGGUGCUAGCUGGUGAGUUCACUAGGACGUCAUCACGGCAAAAGGCAAAGUGACCAGAGCUUCAGGAUGGACUUCUCAAACCAGGGGUCAAAUGGCUUUCCGUGCAGGCCUCAGGGAAGCAGGAGCCUCAGUGAGAGGCAGGUGAGGCCAAGGCAGCCAGGCAGCCUCCAACCCCCAGGCAACAUGUAACUGUGCCGCAAGACCUGAAGACACACAAGCUUCCUCUGCAACCAGCUGCCAUCUUGGAAUGAAGAAGGAGAAGGAAACCCCUUGGGGUGAUGGAGAAACCCAAAGAUGAAGUAAUUACUCAAAAGGAAAUGAUUUUAACCCGAGAGAGUCUGAGAUGCUACAACGGCAAGAACAAGAGUUUUUUGUCUACAGUAGAAAUGAGGUCUCAGGAGAUGAUUGGGAUUUUAUUGAUGGUCAUGUUUUACACAUCCAAGCAAAUUCCACCUUCACAGGAUCCUCAUGACUUCUAUCAUAACAUACGUUAUUUUUUCCAAUUAUGAUGGUAAUAUGAUUUCAUUUUAGAAAAUUUGGGGAACAAGACCAUAGAGAAGAAAACAAAAAUCCCGUCAUCUCAUCAACCAAAGAGAACUACAGUUAACAUCUUUGUUGAUUUCCUUCCAGUCUUUUCUCUAUGUGUACGUGUUUGUGUGUGUAUUACUGUGACUGGACACUUACAUAGCUUGUUGGUUGACAAGAUUCUUUAAUGUCUAAAGCACUUUUGUUUGUGGAAAGGAAUACCCACCACUUUGUGUACUUUGUUUAUUAUCUUUAAAUAAUCACCACUUUAAAUAAUCACCAUUACAAUCACUUCUAAAUAUUCACAGGACUCAUGACCACUAAAUCGAAAAUAUAAGAAGCUAACAAAUUCAGUUUCCCCAAAUGCUUAAACAUUGAUUGAAGUGUGAUCAAUUAAACUUCCCUAAGCAAUUGAUUACCAGUCUCCAAUAUAUAUAGAUUUUCUCAUGUGUUUUAAACGCCUUAAAAUGGAGACAGAACACGCCCACAAUGACAAGGAUUUCUAAACUGGGCAGCGCUUACACUAAAGCUGUUACAGAAGCGCUAAGACCAUGGGUUUACGUCGUAUCUCCAUCAUCUCCUCCUUACUCCUCUGUUGGUUUCUCCCCAGAGGCACGACUGUCUUCCCUUAGCUGAGAGAGCGGGGCUGCCUCGGCACUGGCUGAGGUGGCGUAAAGGGCAACAGGUCAGAGACCGCUCAGAUUAUUGGCUCUGAGUGCUCAGACAGGAUUUGAUUUUUUAUAGUCCUCCUCUUUGCCCCCAAGUGACACUUGCUCUGGGUGUUCUCACUUUGUAGCCCCGCCUGUUAUAAUCCUGCUUUACAAUUGUUCUGGGCAGUGGGGCAACUGACCUGGUUUAGAUAAAAAUUUGCCACACUGAAACGACAGCUUCUCUUUCUCAUUGACUAUUUUGACCUAUAAUAUUG